UCAUUUUGACUUGAAGUUUAGCAAAGUACAUAUAUAAGUUGGUCCAGAACUUCGCUUUUAUAAAACUUCUUCGAAAUAAAAUCAUUAUUCUAUGUAGAAGGACAGGUUAGUAAGACAUUUAGUUGCCUUUGAAACGUUUUUGAGCUGUUUUUGUUAAGUUUUAACUACUGUUUUAAACACGUUCUAUGAAUUCAUUAAAUUUCCCUUCCCAUUCAAGCGCUUCUUUCUCGCUUUAUUUUCUUCGUAUUUCUCGCCAGUUUUUUAGCAGGAAUGUUCAGAAAUACCUCUCAUUUGACGUAUGUAACUUAUAUUUGUUUUCUCUGCAGUUUUAGCCAAACAUUUGACGAGAAAAUUGACUUAAUACGAUCGCCGGUCGAAGACUCGAACACGUGGUAAGCAUGGUGGCCAUUAAAGGCUUUUGGUUCUUGUUUGUAGCUCGCUUUAUAAGCUUCCCUUAUACAAGUAAAACGUCCUUUAUCAUUGUUGAAGCUUUAUGAACACUCUUAAGUUGAGUUUUGUAUAAUUUUAUUGAACAUUUUGUCCGUACGGAGCGAAAUGCCGAAUUGUUUUGGGCGUGUGCAAUUUCAUGCCUUCUUGACUUGUCUGACCCCGUCCUUCAAUGUCUUUCAUUUGCGGUUCCUCUGCCCCCUUCGCUAAAAACUAACCCUUGGACAUUUGUUGUCGAACAUGGGUAUCAACAUCCAGUGUGACCAUAUAUGCAAAUUUUUUUACUAAAGCUGCUUAAAAUUGGUUGGCUGCCCCCUCCUGUUCUUAAUGUUGCAGUUGUUUAAAGCAGGUGGGGUUGUCUAAGGGCAUCCAACCGGAUCUGGUAAUAAAAUGUACUAAACCUGGUCACACUGUCAACAUGAGCCAAACCUGGUGAAUUGGGCGACCAUUAUGCCUUUGCAAUUAACAUUAAUGUUGAAAUGUUUAAAACUAUAAAUUAAAUUUAUUAUUCAACUCUUUGACUUUUAGGCUGCGUCAAGACCGAUAAUUUUGAAGGCAAGAAAUACAGAAAGUUACAGAAAGGCCUCUACACUUUCCAUUAAGAGAUGCUAGCCUAGCAUGCAGAAAAGAGGCGAAGAUUGAAGGAUGAAAUAUGCAGACUGCCAUCUAGCCUGCGUAAUAGACUUAGUAACUCAAUUCCAUUGUUAACCAUCUGUAUUCAUCAUCCGAUUUCGUUUGUGCCAAGUUUGGAAGAGAUUGCUACAAUGUUCAGUCGUAACAGAUGCUGCACGAAAGACAAAACAGAGCGGGCAAGAAGCAAGCCAUAACACCAUAGUCUAACAGUGACAGAUAGCCCAAAAGCUGAUCUAAACACACAUUAAUUAAUUCAAUCAAUCAGCCAUGCAUGGCUUGUCAAAUCACAACUGAUGGUGUACCAUCCAGACAACCUAACACACCAUCGUUCAACCUGUGCCACACCAUUGUUCAACGCCACUUCAACCUCCAGCACUGAGGAAUGCCAGCUUCUACUCAUCCUGGCCAAGUUGACAUACAUCACACAAGGUAUAUCAGUCGAAAGUAAUUGUGUUAAUUUUGAUAAAAGAAAUCGACUCUACCUAGGGUUUAGUUCUGUGGGUCCAACUUUUAAAACGUGUUUUCAUCGACAGUUGAAAGUAAUUGUUUAGAUGAAAGAAAUGUUUUUCAACACUUUACUGAAAGUUUGGAGUAGCUAGGUUGGGGCACUUUUUGAAUUUUUCAAAAAUUUCCGGUUGUCCCCCUUUGUCGACCCUAUAUAGGGUUGCCUUUGGUCCUCCCUCUUUGCAUUUGACCUAAAUUUUAAAAGAAACGGUUUUCAGCCAUCGUAGCAACAUUUGGAGUAGUUUUGGGAACAUAUUUAAUUUUAAUAAAAGUGGUUCCAGGAAUUAUUAUCUGACUUUGUCACUUAUGCAUAUAAUUUCUCAUAUUUCAGAUUCUCGUUGGUCGUGUUCGAAAGUACGUGGGACCACCCUGAUGACGCCCAGAUGUACAAAACAAAUUUUAACAUGGUAUCUUUUCUAUAAUUUCUGAAAUUUUUCAAAUUUUACACAUUUCCUGGUAUUUGUUGAAAACUGUUAACGAAAUUAAGAAUUUCUGAAAUUCGGAAGGUUCUAUCUGGGAGUUUGUUUAUUUGAAAGAUAUUUGAAAUGAAAUUUUGAAAUUUACAUCACUUUGGUAUUUGGUUUAAACGCUAGUUAAAAUCAUGCCGGAUGAGCGACUGACCAUUCGUCAGGGUUCCGUGGUAUUUGGGUUCCGAGUUUUCCCGACCUACAGUCGAGUUGCUUCGAUCGAUUAUCAUGAUCAACUAGCACAGGUGCAAGGUCUGGCCAACCUUACAUCUGUGCUUUUUGUUCGUGGCAUGAGAUUGGGGUAGUUCGCCUGUGGGCCUGGAAAGAUCGAACCAAAAUGUCGCCAAAGUUUGAUUUGUGGUCAGUUUUUUGUCUGUAUGGCUUUAUCCAGCGUUUUCCCGUUACCAUUUUGAUGCAGACUUUGGGAUUUUGGCUUGGAUAUCUUUAAUAUAAACAUUCUUUGAGGUUUAAUCUUUCAAGAAUUUCAUGGUUUUUGACUAGUUAAUGUGUUAACAAAAAAAAAUUAAACUGACCAAAACAUCAUUUGUGGUGUCAGAUGGGUGGUCCAAUGGUAGACGUAGUUGGUAUUAAUGGAUUACUGUGUACUUCUGGGAAUAUUGUGAACAUUUAUGGAUCAUUAUGAACAUUAAUGGAUUACUAUGAACACUUGUGGAAUAUUUGUGGAUAAAAAACGGUUACCUACCAAUGUACCUUAACAACAACGAGCUGCACAACGGUAAAGAGAGGUCUGCCUUCAGGUUAGAGGAUUAGGUGAUUAGCCUGCUAUCAGGCAGUAGUUGGUCUGCUAACAGGCAGAAUUCGUAGGAUUCGCACCCAAGACUUUAAUUUGCAUGUGUUCGGUGAAGUCUCUGGGUUAAACUAAUUUAAAAUUCCUGGCGGUCUGUCGUUAGUAGUACAUUUGCACAGAAGGUUGAUUUUUUAUUCAAAUGCUUGCAUGCUGAUAAACUUUGAAGUAAAAUUUCGGUAUCAUUUGCAAUCGAAAGUCAAUCUUAAAGAGGUUAGCAUUUGAGCUUUCGGUCACGUGGUUCUUUGCAUGCACUCGGUUCGGUUAUUGGUGGGUUUCAGUAAGAGUUACAGCCUACAUGAUGUCAUGAAUAUCAGAAAUGUUGACAUUCGCUGGAGCAAUUAUUUUGUUUUAAAUACAAGACUACUACAUAAAAUGAAAAAGAGUGAACACUAUUUUUCACUCUAGUAACUCGUACUGAAACCCACUAGUUAUUAAUAAAUUUGCGGUCUAUUCGUGCCAAUGUUCUUCUCUUUGUGUCAAAUGUACUGCUUAGGUGUCUGUGCAUGGAUAAACGCAGCGCGUAGCUAGUAUUCAGAAUAUAGGCAGACAAGUAAAACCUUGCCAGGCUUAAAAAUUUUGUUUAUAUCGAUAUGUUAUGUUCAUAAAUGUAUAGAAAAGUCAUGAAAUGGGUUAGGCUUCGGGUUAGGGUUAAAUCUAACCCUAUAACCUUAUCCUUAACCCAUUGCAUGAUCUGUAUAUUUGUGUACAUAUCGUAUGGGUGUAGCCAAAAUUCUAUGUUGAAAAGCUGGCAUAGUUUUCCUUGGGUAGGAUAACUAAACUGGGUGCAAAUGGUAUCCAUAGCUUAGAGGGUGCAAAUGGUACCCGUAAGAAGAUUGGUGGAUAUCGUGGUGGAUUGUUUGGAAAAGAUACUGGUGGGUAUUAACUUAGGACUGUAAUACAAUUGUUGUAAAGAUAAAUAGUCAUCGCCCGUAGUGCAUGUAUAUCGCUGGUUUCGAACGUUAGUUUUCUGACCCGGGUUAUAUGAAAACAGUUCGCUACCAGAGAUUAGAUCCCCUCUCUGUUACGGCGGCUCGACGAUGGAAGACAUUAACAUAAGGCAUGCUAACCUUACCCCUGUUUGUGGAAGCUCAUCAGGUGCAAUGGCACACUAGGUUAAGUUAAGCUAGGGGCAUGACCGAGACUCCACAUUCGGGGGUUUCCCUUGCAGGUGUUUGAAAGAUUAUAGUCA
Molecule: long non-coding RNA, 4048 nt
Filed under: Paramuricea clavata
Lineage: Eukaryota; Metazoa; Cnidaria; Anthozoa; Malacalcyonacea; Plexauridae
Source: RNAcentral